RNAcentral lists this ribosomal RNA (492 nucleotides) under uncultured bacterium. Its description in RNAcentral is "partial 16S ribosomal RNA". It matches the Rfam family "Bacterial small subunit ribosomal RNA", at positions 29 to 507 of the family's 1533-position model. The record is from RNAcentral.
AGUGAACGCUGGCGGUAGGCCUAACACAUGCAAGUCGAACGGCAGCACAGUAAGAGCUUGCUCUUACGGGUGGCGAGUGGCGGACGGGUGAGGAAUACAUCGGAAUCUACUUUUUCGUGGGGGAUAACGUAGGGAAACUUACGCUAAUACCGCAUACGACCUACGGGUGAAAGCAGGGGAUCUUCGGACCUUGCGCGAUUGAAUGAGCCGAUGUCGGAUUAGCUAGUUGGCGGGGUAAAGGCCCACCAAGGCGACGAUCCGUAGCUGGUCUGAGAGGAUGAUCAGCCACCCUGGAACUGAGACACGGUCCAGACUCCUACGGGAGGCAGCAGUGGGGAAUAUUGGACAAUGGGCGCAAGCCUGAUCCAGCCAUACCGCGUGGGUGAAGAAGGCCUUCGGGUUGUAAAGCCCUUUUGUUGGGAAAGAAGAGCAGCAGGUUAAUACCCCGCUGUUCUGACGGUACCCAAAGAAUAAGCACCGGCUAACUUCGUG